AUGGACGCGCCUCGUCGACGCUCUCUUUGACGGCGCGGCAAAAGAGUUUCCUCAGGAGCGGCGAAAGAAGAAGAAGUACUUGGUGGCUGCAACGCAGGAGGAAGGAUCGCAGAUGCGUCUGCUCAACUCUAUCGGAUCCUUCUGCGGGAAGGAUGGAAACGGAGAGGCGGUCAAGGAGGUGGCUCAAGUUCUGAAGGUCUUGUACGACGAGGACAUACUCGAGGAAGAGUUUGUGUUGGAAUGGUACCAGAAGGGUCUGGCAGGGGAGGACAAGAGCUCGCCUGUGUGGAAGAAUGUGAAGCCUUUUGUGGAGUGGCUACAGAGCGCUGAGUCUGAGUCCGAAGGUGAGGAGGAGGCUUGAGAGUUUCUUUUUACUGUGUUACUGUGUGUGGUUUUUUUUCUUUAAUGUUAUUUCGGUUUUCAUAUGUUUCUUUGGCGAAUCUAUAAGCAUUUUGUUUUAAAAAUGCUCUUCUGUCUUUUAUUAUUAUUUAUAUAUUAGAACAUGCAAACUUUGCAACUGGGUUGCUUUAAAUAAUUGCUUCUCGUUUUGUUUGGAUCUAA
This is an RNA transcript of Raphanus sativus (radish), 561 nucleotides long. It is a transcript of the gene named probable eukaryotic translation initiation factor 5-2, with no coding region annotated. The record is from RefSeq and is a predicted model, not a curated record. The transcript has a single exon. Lineage: Eukaryota; Viridiplantae; Streptophyta; Magnoliopsida; Brassicales; Brassicaceae.